AAAUUUCGGAUGUUCUCACAAACAACAAGUCGCUGCCACAAGCUCUGUCCUCGUCAAUGCCGUCUUCAUCCGCUGCGAUGACGUCCGAGGAGGAUGAAUCGCCGCCCUAACCUCACUUCACCGCGCCAUUCUCUACCCGCUUAACUCCCUCAUCAUCACUCACUCCGCCUCAAUUUUAGCUCAAGGAGGUCUCAGCUCCUCUCUAACAAGACACUCCCUUUCAUUUCAUUCCAAAUCGCGACUUCACAAAGAGAACCUCUCAAAUUGACUGUGCACAACAGUACGGUCAUGGAAUUGAUGAGAGGAUUGAGAAAUCAAUUAACUGAGCUCAUAUUUGGUUUGGCUGUUCAAGAUUUGGCUCCAGUGAGCUUGGGUUUAUGAAUUUAUAUAUGGUUUAUCUCACAGCCUUUCAAGAUACAAGCUAAAAUUUAGCCCUGAUAAGUCCAAGCAAUUAGUCUAUUGGACGAUCUUGAUAAAGAGCUAAACACAUAUGCAAUGAGGGUAUGAGAAUGGUAUGGUUGGCAUUUUUCUGAGCUUGCAAAGAUAGUGCAGGACAGUAUCCUUUAUGCCAAAACAGUGAAGUUGAUGGGUAGCCGCACAAAUGCUGCAAAGCUGGACUUCUCUGAGGUAUGUUUCCAUUCCGUUUAUUAUUUUAUUUUUGAUGAUUAAUGUAUGGGGAACGCCUAUCUUGUCCUGAGCGACGUAAUUUGACUCAAUUACUAAGCAAUAAAGAGAAAGAUGAGAAAUUACAGAGAACAAUAAAAAAUGAGCAAAUACCAAUUUUGGUCCCACGACUAUUAUCAAAAUGACAAUUUUGGUCCACAUGUUUAAUUUCUACCAAUUUUGGUCCCACGACUAUUAUUUUAAUACCAAUUUCGGUCCCACGACUAUAGUUUUAGUGCCAAAAUUCAUGGCGUUGCCUUCCGUUUAAAACAUGCCGAAAUCUAGAAUUUUUAAAGGUAUUUUCGUCCUUUUCAACUCAAUAUUCAAAUUUGAGCAUAAAUAAAGAAAUUUAAGCCCUAGGAUCGAUCACAGUUCACAGUUUUCUCCCCCAAUUAAGGUAAAAUGAGGAGGAAAACUGUAAAUAAUUUUGAUCGAUCUUAGGGCUUACAUCCAUUUAUUCAUGCACAAAUUGGAAUAUUAUGUUGAAAAUGACAAAAAUACCCUUAACAAUUUUAUAUUUUUAACGUAUUAAAUGGAUGUGUGACCGGCGCGAUGAAUUUUGACACUAAAAUAA
Long non-coding RNA from Ipomoea triloba (trilobed morning glory), 1237 nucleotides. RefSeq lists it as uncharacterized. The transcript is spliced from 5 exons. The record is from RefSeq and is a predicted model, not a curated record. Lineage: Eukaryota; Viridiplantae; Streptophyta; Magnoliopsida; Solanales; Convolvulaceae.